UAAUGAAUAAACUUCCAUAAUGUUCAUAGUAUACAUGCGAAAAACAAGUAAAAAAUAGAAGAAUCUAAUAAUAAUGAAUAUUAAUCUGGUUGUGAAAUGUAAAAAGCUAAUACAGUUCCAUAACGAGGUGCAUCUUCCUCAAAUAUAACUUUGUGCAUCUAAAUGUCCUUGAGACGGUGCAAAUAUCUAGUAAAAAAAAAGCCCCAUAUUUUAGAUAAAAUUUUAAUAAAUUAACAAAAUAGAGCCCAUAACAUAUGCAAAGAUAAAUCUUUAACGACAUGCAUGUUCCUCAAGUACAACUUUGUGCAUCUUAAUGUCCCUAAGACAGAAAAAAGAAGCAUCACAUUUUGGAUAAAACUUUAAUAAAGUAACGAAAGAUAUGGUAGAACAUAUGCAGAGAUAAUCUUUAAAUACCAAGAGGAGAAUGCUAUAACAUGAUAAAAGCCUUAAUUUCUAGUUACUUUUCCUUUGCAUUGCGUUCCACUGCCAGAAGGCAUUUAAUCGGUCAACUCUGUAGCAAGCACAAAUGAUGCAGACCAAAAAUAAAUGUGAGAAAUAAUCUAUUGAAAAAUAUUAUCUGGAGAGAACGACUAACACGCUUAUAUACCUUAUUUUGUCUUUUAUUCACUUGUUCUGUUGUCUUAUUACAUCCUAGAUGAUUUGUUAACAUAUAUAUGAAAUGCUGGUUCAAAUAAUACCUAUUACUAAAGUAGAUUAUUAUCAAAACAUGAAAUGCUAGUUCAAGAUUAUAAUACAAUUAGCAGAAAGGACUGAAACCAACUUAAGUCUCACUUAUGGGUAUUGGUUCUCUUUUGUCUCUGAGUCCUAAAAGGAUGGAGAGUAAAGAAGAAGCUCCCAACAUAUUGGCUCAUAUUCUAUAAAAUAUCACUCUGAAAAAUGAUUUAAUUAACACAUGCUGAUAACAUCUACCAUGUCAUAUAAUUUUUUAUUUAUUUAUUUGAAAAGGAGGAAACUAUAAAUUUAUUAUAUGGGUUCGAUCCACUAAACAAAAGUUGUUGAUACAUUUAUUUGAGAAUAAAUUUGUACAUUUACAUUUUUUAGCUUUGUUUCUAUGAUGGUCAGAAAAAGAAAAAAUAAAAUGAUUGUUCAUGAUCAUGUUGAUAUAUAAGGCUGGGUCAAAAAUUAAAUAUAUUACUUUCUUUUAUCCUCAAUUGCCUUCAAUAAUAUUGGUCAUCUUGAAGAAAAUGGUUAUAAUUGAUGAUUAUAAUUAAUAAACUGAUGCUUAUGAUUCCUUUUUAUCAAUUGACAUUCUGGAAAAUCUCUAUGCGAAAUAGUGAAGCUUCUAAAACACCACAAGCUAGAAAUUAAUAAUGGCAACAAGCAAUCCAAAAAUAUAUCACUCAUUGCAUGUACUUUGAAAAAGGCAAGUUUCCAUCAGAUCAUUCUAAACUCAGCUAUUUCCUAUUCUUUAUGUUGAUCUAGUUCUAAAGACUAAGACUUAAUGUUUAAUCAUACCUUACCCAAAAAGAAAAAGAAAAGAAAAAAAACUUAAUGUUUAAUCCAAGCUAAACCAAUAAAGUUACUUUGAAGGUAAACAUGCUAAAUUAAAACACCAAAAAGCACAAUCUAAUAACUAAAUUUUACAUUCACAACUUUUUCAAAAUAAAGCAAUAGAUAAUGACAAUGAAAGGAACUUACUUGAGAUGCUCCAUAGACCACCCAAUAUAUCUUGGUGAGCCUUUUAUAGCCACUACUUCAUCUUUGUAUGUCACAAACCAGCCAUGUGCAAUCCCUGAAUAUUUUUUCACAAAUGCAUAUUUAAAACUGCUAUGAGGUUUGAUAUAGUGACAUCUUAUCAGUCUAAUAUUUCUUAAAAUAAAAAAAUUUGGAACAUUAUAAUGCUAAUUUUCCUUCUACUUGUCCGAACUUGCAACUUACAUUGAACAUCACAUAGCGACCUCAAAGGCUCCACAUAUUCACUAUCACAUUCAUAUUCACACACAACUAAUACAGAAAACACAUAAUGCAAACCUUUUCUUCAUAAGGAGAAACACUAAAAUUGCAAAUUUCCCUUUACAUAUACAAUUCAAUCUAAAUCAUUGCCUAUUCGGUGAUUUCAUAACCAUUUACUUAUAAACCUCUUUCUCACCUAUUUUCGUGGUUGUUCAGUCACAUCUUUCGACCGAACAACCUUAUUUACCAUAGCACUAUCAUGCCACUUCAUAAUUUAGUGAUUCAAACCAUCUUUCUUUUUCGCAUAUAAAACAUCAAUCACUGAUUUGAAAUGAAGGCAUCUUUUAUUUUUUGUUUUUCUCUGCUUGUACAAUAUUGACCUUUUUUGAGUUUGUGGAAUAUGUAUGAAGUUGAGUUUGAAUUUAAAGGAUGUAAACCAUCUAUGCCACAAGUACAAAAUGAAAAUGCUAAAAACCAACAAAGAUUUGCAUAAGUUAUAUAGCAAAUUAUAGAGUGAUAGCCAGUCAAUGGAAUUACCAUCAGAGGAAUGCUCCAAAUGAAUCUAUAACCAGAAAUAUAUGAGCAUGUGUACUCAAAAAGGUAAAUGCUUAGCCACUACUCAGUGUAACUAUCCUGAAGCAAAUGCAAUACCUAUCUAGUAGCAAUUCAAAGGCCAUUUUUUCUUGGUCCAGGAGAAUUAUUGAGGCCACUAACUUACAUUUAUCAAUUUUCUGGUUCAAGUGAGGAUGAAAUCAACAAAUAUAUGAUCACUAAAUAGUAAUAGAUCCACUAAGUAUUUUGUACAUGGCAUAUAACAUACAAAAUCGGAUGAAGAGCCUCAUUCAAUAAAAGAACACUGAGUACUUUGUAAAAAUACCCCAAUCGUUUAAACCUAUAUCAAUGAAAUAAUAUUUAUCAAAAUACAUGUGACAGAAGAUUUUGCCUUUCUUUUUAUUACAACCAUUGCUAGCACACGCAAACUAAUAGAAUGUGAAGUGAUGUUUGAGGAGAAAUACUCUGCUUCUCUGCUUAACACCUUUCUUCAUUCGUCUUUUAUCCUUUUGUGUGUUAUACCAGUGAAUCAUUGAAAAGUUUCUUAUCAUCAUUCAAUUUAAUUUUUUUGGCGAAAAGUCAAAAUCGUGUACCAAAUUUCAUCUACCAAAUUAAUUUGGUUAUAGUAAAAUUCUAUUCGAAUUUCAAAUAGAAGAUAAAUCAAAUAUGUAAAACGGAGAAGAAAGAACUUGUUUUCUAUUUGACAACCUUAAGAUUUCAUGCCUACAACCACCAAUUGAGACGUCUUCUUUCGCAAUCUGUCAUUGGCAUUGUUGGUUCUUCGAUAUAUUCAUCAUUUGUACAAAUCUCCUGCCGUUCAUAU
This 3289-nucleotide long non-coding RNA is filed under the name Nicotiana tabacum (common tobacco). RNAcentral's name for it is "long non-coding RNA (NTAB_LNC009721)". The record is from RNAcentral. Lineage: Eukaryota; Viridiplantae; Streptophyta; Magnoliopsida; Solanales; Solanaceae.